AGUAACAGUGGGAGACUUUAACACCUCACUGUCAAUAUUAGACAUUGAGACCGAAAAUUAACAAAGAUAUUCAGGACUUGAACUCAGCUCUGGAUAAGGUGGACCUAAUACAUAUCUGCAGAACUCUCCACCCCAAAACAACUGAAUAUACAUUCUUCUCAGUGCCACAUAGCACUUAAUCUAAAUUCGUCACAUAAUUGAAAGUAAAACUCUUCAGCAAAUUAAAAAAAAAACUGAAAUAAUAAGCAGUCUCUCAGAUAACAUCACCAUCAAAUUAGGGCUCAAGACUAAGAAACUCACUCAAAACUACACAACUACAUUGAAAUUUAACAACUUGCUCCUGAAUGACUCCCAGGUAGAUAUGAAGUUAGGCCAGAAAUCAAGAUGUUCUUUGAAACCAAUGAGACAGAUGAUUGUAUCAGAAUCUCUGGGAUGCAGCUAAAGCAGUGUUAAGAGGGAAAUUUACAGCACUAAAUGUCCUCAUCAAAAAGCUAGAAAGAUCUCAAAUUAACAUCCUAACAUCACAACUAAAAGAACUCGAGAACCAAGAGCAAAGAAACAACAAAGCUAGCAGAAGACAAGAAAUGAAAAAGAUCAAAGUGAUGCUGGCAGAAUUGGCUAGCCAUAUGCAAAAAUUGAAGUUGGACCUUUUGCUUACACCUUAUAUGAAAAUUGACUCAAGAUGAAUUAAAGACUUAAAUGUAAAACCCAAAACUGUGAAAAAAACCCAGAAGAAAAUCUAGGCAAUAUCAUAGUCUUGGGCAAAGAUAUCAUGACCAAAACACCAAAAGGAAUUGCAACAAAAGCAAAAAUUGACAAAUGGAAUUAAUUUAAAGUAAAGAGCUUCUGCACAGCAAAAGAAACUAUCAUCAGAGUGAACAGACAACCUACAGAGUGGGAGAAAAUUUUAGCAAUCUAUCCAUCUGACAAGGUUCUAAUAUCCAGAAUCUACAAGGAACUUAAACAAAUUUACAAGAAAAAAACAAACAAACAACCUUAAAAAUUGGGCAAAAGACAUGAGCAGACACUUCCCAAAAGAAGACAUUUAAGUGGCCAAGAAACAAAUGAAAAAAAAAGCUCAACAUCACUGAUCAUUAUAGAAAUGCAAAUGAAAACCACAAUGAGGUACCAUCUCAUGCCAGUUAGAAUGGUGAUUAUUAAAUAGUCAAGAAACAACAAAUGCUAGUGAGGCUGUGGGGAAAUAGGAACAUUUUUACACUAUGGGUGGUAAUGUAAAUUAGUUUAACCAUUAUGGAAGACAGUGUGUUGAUUCCUCAAAGACCUAGAACCAGAAAUACCAUUUGACCCAGCAAUCCCAUUACUGGGUAUAUACCCAAAGGAAUAUAAAUCAUUCCAUUAUCAAGAUACAUGCACUUGUAUGUUCACUGCAGCACUAUUCACAAUAGCAAAGCCAUGAAAUCAACGCAAAUGCCCAUCAAUGAUAUACUGGAUAAGGAAAAUGUGGUACAUGUAUGCUGUAGGAUACUAUGCAGCCAUGAAAAGGAUGAGAUUGGCCGGGUGUGGUGGCUUAUGCCUGUCAUCCCAGCACUUUGGGAGGCUGAGGCAGGUGGAUCACUUGAAGUCAGGAGUUCGAGACCAACCUGGUCAAUAUGGUGAAUCCCUGUCUCUACUAAAAAAAAUACAAAAAUUGGCUGGGCAUGGUGGCAGGCACUUGUAAUCCCAGCUGCUCAGGAGGCUGAGUAAGGAGAAUUGCUUGAACCUGGGAGGUGAAGAUUGCAGUGAGCCAAGAUUGCACCAUUGCACUCCAGCCUGGGCAACAAAAGCUAAAACUCCAUCUCAAACAAAAAAACAAUGAUAUUAUGUCCUUUGCAGGGACAUGGAUGGAGCUGGAAGCCAUUAUCCUCAGCAAACUAAUAAACUAAUGUAGGAACAGUAAACCAAACACCUCAUGCUGUCACUCAUAAGUGGGAGCUGAACAAUGAGAGAACAUGGACACAGAACAACACACACUGGUCUGUUAGUGGGGGUAGGAGGAGGGAGAGCAUUAGGAAAAAUAGCUAAUGUAUGCUGGGCUUAAAUCCUAGGUGAUGGGUUGAUAGGUGCAGCAAACCACCAUGGCACCUGUUUACCUGUGUAACAAACCUGCACAUCCUGCACAUGUAUCCUGGAACUUAAAAUAAAAUAAUAUUUACUUAAUGCAUCAUUAUUCUUGACACUAACUUAUUCUUUGUGCCACCUGUGAAUACUGAACUCCAAAUACUCUCUUAACUGUUUUUACUAUACUUUAUGGUAAUGACAACAAAAGCAAAUUUACCCAGCAUAUGCAAUAUAAUGUGAAAAAUAAUUCAUUUUCUGGUCAUAUUUAAUUUACUAUGUGGGACUUUAUAGCAUAAACUCUAUCUUCUUUGAUCUCUUGAGGUCAAAACAUGCAAUCCUAGAACAUGACCUCUUUCCAUGUUGACCAUACUUCUGCCUUCCACAAAGUAAUACCAGUAGGAGAAUAGUAAAGUGUCCAGAAAAGGGUGUUAAUAGCGGCCCCACUUGAGCAGAAUGUGUCUGUCUUUCUCCCAACAUGACCGUUGACAAAUCCAGGAAAGCCUAAUGUCACUGUGUAAGUGGAGGUAAGAGAGGACAUCAAGCAAAAGGUCCUGUUUUGCUUGCAGGCUGUCUCCAAGUCUUCAGAGGAAGUAUUCUGUGGCCACCCCAGAAGGACUGCCUCAUCCAGUGAAGACAACAGAAAUGCCUCCCUGAGAGCUCUGCUUGGUCUGUGUACUGCUCAAUUUCCCCACCCAACCUGGAGUGGGACUACAUCAAACUUAAAAGCUUCUGCACAGCAAAUAAGACAAUCAACAGAGUGAAAAGACAACCUAUACAAUGGGAAAAGAUAUUUUGCCAACUAUGUAUCUGACAAGAAGAUAAUUUCCAAAAUAUAUAAGAAACUCUUACAACUUAACAGCAAAAGAAAGAAAGAAAGAAAAGAAAGAAGGAAAGAGAAAAUGAAGAAAGAAGAAAAGAAAGAGAGAAAGAAAUUUAAAAAUGAAUGAGCCAAGGGCUUGAACAGGCAUUUCUUCAAAGGACACAUACAAAUAACCAAUAAGUGCAUGAAGAGGUGUUUCACACUACUAAUCAUUAGGGAAACACAAACCAAAACCACAAUGAGGUAUCAUCUUAUACUUGUUUUAAGAUGGCUAUUAAUAAAAACAUGCGAAAUAAGUA
This is a long non-coding RNA of Homo sapiens (human), 3177 nucleotides long. RefSeq lists it as uncharacterized. The transcript is spliced from 2 exons. The record is from RefSeq and is a predicted model, not a curated record. NCBI's taxonomy places the organism in Eukaryota, Metazoa, Chordata, Mammalia, Primates, Hominidae.